Molecule: long non-coding RNA, 1181 nt
Filed under: Homo sapiens (human)
Lineage: Eukaryota; Metazoa; Chordata; Mammalia; Primates; Hominidae
Description: maternally expressed 3
Rfam family: Maternally expressed 3 conserved region 2 (bases 509-613)
Source: RNAcentral
GAGAGGGAGCGCGCCUUGGCUCGCUGGCCUUGGCGGCGGCUCCUCAGGAGAGCUGGGGCGCCCACGAGAGGAUCCCUCACCCGGGUCUCUCCUCAGGGAUGACAUCAUCCGUCCACCUCCUUGUCUUCAAGGACCACCUCCUCUCCAUGCUGAGCUGCUGCCAAGGGGCCUGCUGCCCAUCUACACCUCACGAGGGCACUAGGAGCACGGUUUCCUGGAUCCCACCAACAUACAAAGCAGCCACUCACUGACCCCCAGGACCAGGAUGGCAAAGGAUGAAGAGGACCGGAACUGACCAGCCAGCUGUCCCUCUUACCUAAAGACUUAAACCAAUGCCCUAGUGAGGGGGCAUUGGGCAUUAAGCCCUGACCUUUGCUAUGCUCAUACUUUGACUCUAUGAGUACUUUCCUAUAAGUCUUUGCUUGUGUUCACCUGCUAGCAAACUGGAGUGUUUCCCUCCCCAAGGGGGUGUCAGUCUUUGUCGACUGACUCUGUCAUCACCCUUAUGAUGUCCUGAAUGGAAGGAUCCCUUUGGGAAAUUCUCAGGAGGGGGACCUGGGCCAAGGGCUUGGCCAGCAUCCUGCUGGCAACUCCAAGGCCCUGGGUGGGCUUCUGGAAUGAGCAUGCUACUGAAUCACCAAAGGCACGCCCGACCUCUCUGAAGAUCUUCCUAUCCUUUUCUGGGGGAAUGGGGUCGAUGAGAGCAACCUCCUAGGGUUGUUGUGAGAAUUAAAUGAGAUAAAAGAGGCCUCAGGCAGGAUCUGGCAUAGAGGAGGUGAUCAGCAAAUGUUUGUUGAAAAGGUUUGACAGGUCAGUCCCUUCCCACCCCUCUUGCUUGUCUUACUUGUCUUAUUUAUUCUCCAACAGCACUCCAGGCAGCCCUUGUCCACGGGCUCUCCUUGCAUCAGCCAAGCUUCUUGAAAGGCCUGUCUACACUUGCUGUCUUCCUUCCUCACCUCCAAUUUCCUCUUCAACCCACUGCUUCCUGACUCGCUCUACUCCGUGGAAGCACGCUCACAAAGGGUGUCCCAGCACCAGCCUGGCACAGAGUGGGGCUCAGUUAGAGUAUGUGGGAUGUUGGUUUCGCCAGGCACGUGGGCCGUGGCCCGGCUGGGUCGGCUGAAGAACUGCGGAUGGAAGCUGCGGAAGAGGCCCUGAUGGGGCCCACCAUCCCGGACCCA